Molecule: non-coding RNA, 164 nt
Filed under: Mesocricetus auratus (golden hamster)
Lineage: Eukaryota; Metazoa; Chordata; Mammalia; Rodentia; Cricetidae
Description: Archaeal large subunit ribosomal RNA
Rfam family: Archaeal large subunit ribosomal RNA
Source: Rfam by way of RNAcentral
GAAUCCUGCCUGUUUACCAAAAACAUAACCUCUAGCAUUACAAGUACUGAGGCAAUGCCUGCCCAGUGACUGAGUUAAACAGCUGCGGUGUCCUGACCGUGAAAAUGUAGCAUAAUCACUUGCUCCUUAAUUAGGGACUAGAAUGAAUGGCUAAACGAGGAUUC